GACGAACGCUGGCGGCGUGCUUAACACAUGCAAGUCGAACGGAAAGGCCCUUCGGGGUACUCGAGUGGCGAACGGGUGAGUAACACGUGGGUGAUCUGCCCUGCACUUUGGGAUAAGCCUGGGAAACUGGGUCUAAUACCGAAUAUGAUCAUCGGCUUCAUGGUCGGUGGUGGAAAGCUUUUGCGGUGUGGGAUGGGCCCGCGGCCUAUUAGCUUGUUGGUGGGGUAAUGGCCUACCAAGGCGACGACGGGUAGCCGGCCUGGGAGGGUGACCGGCCACACUGGGACUGAGAUACGGCCCAGACUCCUACGGGAGGCAGCAGUGGGGAAUAUUGCACAAUGGGCGCAAGCCUGAUGCAGCGACGCCGCGUGAGGGAUGACGGCCUUCGGGUUGUAAACCUCUUUCAGCACAGACGAAGCGCAAGUGACGGUAUGUGCAGAAGAAGGACCGGCCAACUACGUG
RNAcentral lists this ribosomal RNA (462 nucleotides) under uncultured bacterium. Its description in RNAcentral is "partial 16S ribosomal RNA". It matches the Rfam family "Bacterial small subunit ribosomal RNA", at positions 28 to 507 of the family's 1533-position model. The record is from RNAcentral.